UACGUAGGGUGCAAGCGUUAAUCGGAAUUACUGGGCGUAAAGCGUGCGCAGGCGGUUGUGCAAGUCCGAUGUGAAAUCCCCGGGCUCAACCUGGGAACUGCGUUGGAAACUACGAGGCUGGAGUACGGCAGAGGGGGGUGGAAUUCCACGUGUAGCAGUGAAACGCGUAGAUAUGUGGAGGAACACCGAUGGCGAAGGCAGCCCCCUGGGCUAGUACUGACGCUCAUGCACGAAAGCGUGGGGAGCAAACAGG
RNAcentral lists this ribosomal RNA (253 nucleotides) under uncultured bacterium. Its description in RNAcentral is "partial 16S ribosomal RNA". It matches the Rfam family "Bacterial small subunit ribosomal RNA", at positions 524 to 776 of the family's 1533-position model. The record is from RNAcentral.